This 497-nucleotide ribosomal RNA is filed under the name uncultured bacterium. Its description in RNAcentral is "partial 16S ribosomal RNA". It matches the Rfam family "Bacterial small subunit ribosomal RNA", at positions 28 to 507 of the family's 1533-position model. The record is from RNAcentral.
GAUGAACGCUGGCGGCGUGCCUAAUACAUGCAAGUCGAGCGAACAGAUGAGGAGCUUGCUCCUCUGACGUUAGCGGCGGACGGGUGAGUAACACGUGGAUAACCUACCUAUAAGACUGGGAUAACUUCGGGAAACUGGAGCUAAUACCGGAUAAUAUAUUGAACCGCAUGGUUCAAUAGUGAAAGACGGUUUUGCUGUCACUUAUAGAUGGAUCCGCGCCGCAUUAGCUAGUUGGUAAGGUAACGGCUUACCAAGGCAACGAUGCGUAGCCGACCUGAGAGGGUGAUCGGCCACACUGGAACUGAGACGCGGUCCAGACUCCUACGGGAGGCAGCGGUAGGGAAUCGUCCGCAGUGGGCGAAAGCCUGACGGAGCAACGCCGCGUGAGUGAUGAAGGUCUUCGGAUCGUAAAACUCUGUUAUUAGGGAAGAACAAAUGUGUAAGUAACUAUGCACGUCUUGGCGGUACCUAAUCAGAAAGCCACGGCUAACUACGUG